This 512-nucleotide ribosomal RNA is filed under the name uncultured bacterium. Its description in RNAcentral is "bacterial SSU rRNA". It matches the Rfam family "Bacterial small subunit ribosomal RNA", at positions 34 to 518 of the family's 1533-position model. The record is from RNAcentral.
CGCUGGCGGCGUGCCUAAUACAUGCAAGUCGAACGGUCUUUCUAUGGAAGCUUGCUUCCACUGAGAAGAUAGUGGCGAACGGGUGAGUAACACGUGGGUAACCUGCCCAUAAGAGGGGGAGUAACAUCCGGAAACGGGUGCUAAUACCGCAUAGUUUUCUUGAUCGCAUGAUCGGGAAAGGAAAGACGGCCUUUGUGCUGUCGCUUAUGGAUGGACCCGCGGCGUAUUAGUUAGUUGGUGAGGUAACGGCUCACCAAGACGAUGAUACGUAGCCGACCUGAGAGGGUGAUCGGCCACAUUGGGACUGAGACACGGCCCAAACUCCUACGGGAGGCAGCAGUAGGGAAUCUUCCGCAAUGGACGAAAGUCUGACGGAGCAACGCCGCGUGAGUGAAAGAAGGUUUUCGGAUCGUAAAACUCUGUUGUCAGAGAAGAACAAGUUGGAGAGUAACUGCUCCAGCCUUGACGGUAUCUGACCAGAAAGCCACGGCUAACUACGUGCCAGCCGCCGC